RNAcentral lists this ribosomal RNA (497 nucleotides) under uncultured bacterium. RNAcentral describes it as "partial 16S ribosomal RNA". It matches the Rfam family "Bacterial small subunit ribosomal RNA", at positions 28 to 507 of the family's 1533-position model. The record is from RNAcentral.
GAUGAACGCUGGCGGCGUGCCUAAUACAUGCAAGUCGAGCGAACAGACGAGGAGCUUGCUCCUCUGACGUUAGCGGCGGACGGGUGAGUAACACGUGGAUAACCUACCUAUAAGACUGGGAUAACUUCGGGAAACCGGAGCUAAUACCGGAUAAUAUAUUGAACCGCAUGGUUCAAUAGUGAAAGACGGUUUUGCUGUCACUUAUAGAUGGAUCCGCGCCGCAUUAGCUAGUUGGUAAGGUAACGGCUUACCAAGGCGACGAUGCGUAGCCGACCUGAGAGGGGGAACGGCCACACCUGAACUGAGACACGGUCCAGACCCCUAAGGGAGGCAGCCGUAGGGAAUCCUCCGGCAUGGGGGAAAGCCUGACGGAGCCACCGCGGGUGAGUGAAGAAGGUCUUCGGAUUGGAAAACCCUUUUAAUAGGGAAGAAAAAAUGGUGAAGUUACUAAUCAAGUCUUGACGGUACCCAAUCAGAAAGGCACGGCCAACUACGUG